Molecule: long non-coding RNA, 694 nt
Organism: Sorghum bicolor (sorghum)
Lineage: Eukaryota; Viridiplantae; Streptophyta; Magnoliopsida; Poales; Poaceae
Exons: 2
Source: RefSeq, a predicted model, not a curated record
GGGCCAAACCCUAGCCUCCCUCCUUCGAUCCUUCUCUCCCUACCUGUGAGCCGCCGCCCCUCACCCUUCUCCCCGCCGACCCUCCCACCCUUUCCACAGGCGUCAUCCCUCUCUCUCCAACUCCCCCUCAUGACCCCUCUCAUCGGCUUCAAGCAGCAGGGGCAAUGCAGCGGCGGUGGCAUCCAUGUGUGCUCCCAGAUCCUGGCAGCAUGGGGUUCGGCGCGCAUGAGGCUGUAGCUCCCGACGGCACGUGUAGGCCCUCGCCCCAGCACUAGCUUUGGCCUAAUCUCUCCUCUCCACCAACAACCUCUCAGAUCUCGGCAGAGACGAGAGAGGUAGUGCAGGCAACAGCUCCAGCAAAGUGUGGGGAACCAGCAGCAGCUGCGGCGAGCUCACAGGGGCAGCAACCUGACUCCUGUUGACGAAGAACACACCAAGGAUGAGCACGGGAAGACAAGUACAAAGACCAGGAAUCUGGAGCAACGGAUUUUUGAAGGAGUGCCACUAUACAGCAAAAUGAAAUCAAGCUUAUGCACUGGCUGUCUAGAAAUGCUAUUGUGUAAUAGAUGUAAAGGUUGACAAUGACCUGUUUUUGUGUUUCCUUAGGUUUUAUGAUGAUCAGAACAUGUUAUGUUAAUGUACUGCAAAUUGAGUUAAUCAAAUGAUUGGGCUUUAUGUGAUUUUCAUUAUAUAA